CGCUUUGCAAUGGGCCAGAGUAAAUGAUAUUCCGUUUAAUCAUAGGCUAAAUCGGGUACUCAAUACCUUAGCCUAUUUCAUGCCCGGAAUACA
This 93-nucleotide small nucleolar RNA is filed under the name Drosophila mojavensis. RNAcentral describes it as "snoRNA:GI25441". The record is from RNAcentral. Lineage: Eukaryota; Metazoa; Arthropoda; Insecta; Diptera; Drosophilidae.